This is a non-coding RNA of Vicugna pacos (alpaca), 4834 nucleotides long. The record is from RefSeq and is a predicted model, not a curated record. Lineage: Eukaryota; Metazoa; Chordata; Mammalia; Artiodactyla; Camelidae.
CUGGGGGCGUGCUGAGACGCGUCUGGGAUACAGGACAAGCGAGCCUGGCUCCCCUCUCUGAUUCACGAGGUAAUGACUGGUUUACCGGCUGUGAACUCCUAGCGGAGGGCACGCCUGGCACGCACCUCGCCCUCAGCGCCGGGCCGCCGUCUUCCUUUCCUCCUUGGCCAUUUGCGAGCUCCUCUGAGCAUGCACUUGAAGAGGGACGUUGACAUAAAGAGCUCUCAGAGGGAAGCAGCCCGAUAGUGAGGAUACAAGACUCCGCAGCAUUGCACUGCGUGGGGCAUGGUGUCUGUCCUCGUAUCUCCGAGGGCUGUCAAAGGACUUCCCGAUUCAGCGUCUCCCCAGUGUGGGAAGGACCGCUAUCCAACCUGGGGGAGUGGGCUGGAGCUGUGCUACCACAGAGGCCUACCAAUACGAGAGGACCAUAAUAAUUCUCUUUCCCCAGUGGAUCUGCACCUUGGAAAGCUGGAUGCUGACCUGACGAUGGCACAAUAGAAGAUGACUCAGGGAAGGAAUCCUGGCACCGGUGGUUUCCCAACCAGACUCCUUUACUACAGUAUUCCUUUAUCACACUCCUGGCAUCUGUGUUCAGAGAUGCAAUCAAACGGACAGCCUGAACAAAACUCAUAGAUAAAUAGGUGAUGUUGCUACCUUAAAGAACCCAUUUUGGAAUGAUUGGAGUGUCCAGACCUCGCAGGAUGUAAUGCAAUGUAGUGAUUAAAUGUCCGGACUUCGGAGUCCAAUAGACAUGGCCCGGAGUUCAGCUCUGCUUCUCAUUCACUAUGGGGUCUUAGGCAAUUUUCGUAAGCUUGUUGGCCUCAUUUUCCUCAUCUUCGUAAGUUUUGUGCUCCUCACACAUCUGUUUGGAGGGUUAAAAGAGGUAACGCUGAUGCGCAGGUGAGCGCAGCCCCUGGCCCCUCGGAACUGCGCCGCUGGGCCAGCUCUCGUGUGGUUGCUGCUGAUUCAUCACCAGCAGGAAGCCAGCCCUCCCCGUCUCGCUGGCGUUUGCCCAUCUCACCCAGCUCCAACGACCUUAAAGGCAGCCUGCUCCACAGGAAUUCAAGUACCUCUGAUAGAUUUUGUAGGUUUGUGUCUGUUUGUGGAUGGAGAGAGCUGCAAAGCAUAUCAAAGUCCUUGACCCCUCGUGAAACCAAGUGCUUCUUCAAACAGUCAAUCGCAUCUCAGUGUCUUACGCACAAAACAAUUUCAGACAUUUCUUCCUGGUGUCCAGCCGCCUGGUGUCCUGACCCCACAGCAACAGGGACCUACAGGAGAACCACAUUCUCCCCAUCUAGGUAGCUGCUAGGCGUGUCUCUUGCCUUUCUGAUCAGGUUCGCUUCCAUGGAAACAGGAGCAUUUACUCCCUCCUCCUCACUUCCUACUGCCACGAGCAUGUGGGUCUGGGGAAGGAAUUCCUAUUUCACUUUUUCUGGAUGAGACUGAGCAGCCAGGCUGGGCUACGUUACCAAAGCUAAGAAGUUCCCUGUAUCUGCCUCCAAAACAAACCCAUUCAUGGAUGUGGGCCACAUCUUGGUGUCUCUCUCAGCCUAGAGCCACACUAUACCCUGAAGGUGCUGAGAAAUGUAUGCGGAGUUAAUGGAUGAGUGAAUAAGUAAACAAUUAAGAAGGCCAGCUGAGUGAGUUGCAUUAACCAUGGGCUGCACCAGUGCCAGACAUCAGGGAAGGAACCCCUAGGCUCUGCUGGAAGAACACCCUUUAUUCUCUAGCAAAGCAUGAAGAAGGAGGUGGUGAAGAAGCGGGAGGAGAAAGAAGAACGGAGACAGUUAAAAAGUGAAUGCAGUUCCAUUUAUGUGUAUAUCGUUUUACAAACUGCAAGGCAUCUACCUGUUCAUUCCGGACUCAAUAUGUUUUUGUCAAACAACUCCAUCAUGUGCCUGCAGUUUCUGCCCCCGCUUCACAUAAUCCUGAAAAGUAUGAAGGAAAUAAUACUCCCCCCAUGGGACGAUGAGCGAACUGAGGCUUGCUCGGAAAGGAAGACUGCUUGUCCAAGAGCACACGGCUGCUCCCUUGCAGGGGGACCGGGACUCGAAUCCCAGGUUGUGGCCACCAUCUACACCAAGCCACCUCCCCUGUGCUUGGAUUAGACAAGCGAAAUUCAAGCUAUUCGUGAACCAUAACAAAUGCCCCCAAAUAUACAUACUGGGCAAGAAAGACUUUAUGCUUAUUCAGGAGCUCAAAUUAUGUGACCCUUGCUUUCCUAAUACAGUUUAUGCCCAGAAUUUAAAAAGGGAAGAUUCGAUGACAUUUAUAAUCCACAUCUAGACAGUCAAGAAUUAACAACAUUCAUCUGCAGGGUGCAAUAAACACGAUAGCAAGCUUUCUGGCUAUCACAUAAGCAAGCCAGCCAAUUUCAGUGCUACUAUUUAGGUUUGAGCUAUGAACCCUGCUCAGAUUAAACAGCAGCAUUUUGCUGAAUCUUGAGCUGAGAGCCAAUACCGGUGACUACACCAGAAUCAGAAGCUAGCGUCCAAGGACCCACCAGUGAACCAUUUCAAACCUGAAAGAAAUUGGAAAACACCGGACUUGAAAGUCAAAAUAACGUCCAGGAAUAAAUGUCAGCCAUUCCAACACCGUCUUCAAUCUGGCCCCUGAAACUGACUGACCAGGAGGGGCCCCUGCCCACAUGCCAAUAAUAAACCUGGGCUAACGCCGCAGCCAAGUCCACCAAAGCCAACACAGUCGACCUGGUUAUUUGGAAACCAAUAUGGAUUGUGGGGGAAAAAAGUAGAAAACAAAAAUUUUCAUUUUUCAGUGGGAGCCAUUUCGCAGAGAACAGGGGUAACGGCAAAUUUCACGUUUCACGCUUGCGAUCCCGGGUGACUGAGCGUGCUGCUCUUCCACGCCUGCUUUUGUGCUGUCACCCGCCUGCAGGGACACAGGCAAGGUCGCUAGAGGACAGACUGGUGCGUCCUUUGUAGCGUGAGCCCUGAGACCCGGGCACUCGGAUUGCUGCGGAGGAAGGUUAACAAGCACAGUAACCAGAAAAAGGAGCCAGAGGCAAUCAACCGAUCGAUUGAUCAGGUUACUGAAUGCAUUUCCACUUCUGUUGGAAUUUGAACUGUUUGUUGAGGUGAUGGUGGGGAGAGUUAGGAACUGGAACAAGAAACAGGAGGAAUUUGAGAUGGAAGGCAACAGUGGACGGGGUUAAUGGAGUGACCUGCUGUAUUUGUUGGCCAAAUCCCUCUGGUCAUUUCCUUUCUCCCACUUCAAACAGGCUUCUGUCGCCACCAUUCCACUGAAAUUGCUUUUGCCAAGAUCCCAACUUGCAAAGCUAAAUUUCCUACUUACAAGAAGUGACUGACCCUGCAGUGCACAUCUAACCUUGAUUCACCACCACUGAGGCACAAGGUGUGGGCCCUCCUAGCAGGCAGGGACCAAGGCUCAGAGACUUGAACCUGUUACAGGUCUUGAGACAAGGAAUUGACUGUAAGCUCUUAAUCUGAGAGGUGGUUCUAAGGAGCAUCAGCAGAGGAGCGGAGGGGAGAGACAGGGAAGGGAGGGGAGCCUAGGCAGGGUGUGUUCACGAGAAGGGUCUCACUCUGGGAAACUGCGUUCGGUCCCACCGGAGGCUUCUGGGAGGCUGUACAGGGCUGUGUCAGUCACCACACAGGAGGCAUUCAUGCACCUGCCCCAGCUGUCACUGGCUGAGGGCAGCUCCUGGAGGCGCUGACACCCCAGGACUUCCAGCCUUCCUCUGGGUGGUCGUUAUGUGUCUCUGCUUGCUCUCUUGGGGUCUCAUCUCUGCUGUGUUAAACAGCUCAGGCUGGUCUGCAGAAUGAUGAGCUAGCAUGUGAGCCAGAAUAAGCCAUUUACGUCCUCAUAUGUGAGACAGCUUAGCCAAGGUCCGCAAAGCAAUUUGCGAUUGACUCGUUGCUGACCACAGACACACACAGUAGCCCAGCCCCCAACCAAAAGAACCAUCCCACAUAACCAUGGGCUAAAAAAUGUUACUUUUUAAAGCCACUGAGUUUUGGGGUGAUUCAUAACGCAGCAAAAGCUAGCCGUUACGCCAGCCUAAAUCAGCGGGCACCAGAAGUGGUCUUAGGAAAAAGAACAUCAGGGUGAGAUUCUGGAACUGGCUCGCUUAUGGACCAGAAGACUGCAAGCGCCCCGCUUCCGGAGGUAAAUGUGGAGGUGGUAAGCAUCCCGGGGCACGCAGCAUCCCGGGGACUGAAGCCCUCACCUUUGGUGCACUGGGUGGGGCAGCGGUGAAGAGGAGCAGCCAGGCUCCUACAGGGGCUCCAGCACUGGUGUCCUUAAAGGCCGCGGGGAUGAGGCCUGCGGAACUGCUUGCCAGUUGCAAAGGAUCACAGAUGCCCUGAAAGAAGAAAAUGACAGCCAUCAACUCCACGUUCUGGUAUAAAAGCAGAAGUCUGCACCGGAGCGUGCGAAGGGGAGCUCAUCUCCCUGACCCGGAAGACAGGCUGCGCCGAAUAAUCAGGCCCAGUAUUUAUUGUAAAUGUGGGAGAGACAGAAGUCACCCACGUGGAAGCCGGGGCUCUGAUCGAGAAGGCGUGGGACGUUGAGCCUGGGGGUGGGGAACUUCAGGUAGAUACCCUGGAGAACCUUAAGUCUCUCUGAUUAACUUGAGUAAGCACGAGGGUCUACACGCCCCUUGUUAGGAGAGAGAAAUCUCAGUGUCUGGAGAGCACACACGUGCCUCGCUUGAGAUGACUGUCUUGCAAGAUGACAUCAGUUCUUUUCAAAUCUGGUCCCACCUCCCCUCAUUGCUUCUAGACCAAUAGCCAAGGUCGUUUCUGCAAGGCACACGUGGGAAGUGCUGACCCUCCUCUGGGAAGAAGCAUGCUAA